This 355-nucleotide ribosomal RNA is filed under the name uncultured bacterium. RNAcentral's name for it is "bacterial SSU rRNA". It matches the Rfam family "Bacterial small subunit ribosomal RNA", at positions 1 to 334 of the family's 1533-position model. The record is from RNAcentral.
GACGCACUCUCAGAGUUUGAUCCUGGCUCAGGAUUAACGCUGGCGGCGUGCAUAACACAUGCAAGUCGAACGAUGAAAUUCAUUAGACAUCUUCGGAUAGACAAAGAAUGGAAUAGUGGCGGACGGGUGAGUAACACGUGAGUAACCUGCCUUACACAAGGGGAUAGCCGUUGGAAACGACGAAUAAUACCCUAUAAAGCAAAGCUGUCGCAUGAUAGCCUUGCCAAAGUGCUUAGUGGUGUAAGAUGGACUUGCGUCUGAUUAGCUAGUUGGUGAGAUAAAAGCCCACCAAGGCAACGAUCAGUAGCCGGCUUGAGAGAGUGUACGGCCACAUUGGGACUGAGACACGGCCCAA